AGCUCCAAUAGCGUAUAUUAAAGUUGUUGCAGUUAAAAAGCUCGUAGUUGAAUUUUGGGCCUGGCCGGGCGGUCCUCCGCAAGGUUGCACUCCUGGGCGGGCCUUUCCUUCUGGGGAACCGGUGUGCUCUUUAUUGGGUGUGCAGGGGAUCCAGGACUUUUACUUUGAAAAAAUUAGAGUGUUUAAAGCAGGCCUAUGCUUGAAUACAUUAGCAUGGAAUAAUAGAAUAGGACUUUGGUUCUAUUU
Molecule: ribosomal RNA, 246 nt
Filed under: uncultured Chytridiomycetes
Lineage: Eukaryota; Fungi; Chytridiomycota; Chytridiomycetes
Description: partial small subunit ribosomal RNA
Rfam family: Eukaryotic small subunit ribosomal RNA
Source: RNAcentral